UUGUUAUUCAUUCGUUUGAUGUGCUUGAGCUUUUGAUUUUGUCAUUUGACUAUGGAGACUAUGGACUUUCCGUUUUUAAUUUUCUUCGGUGUUCGGUAUUUUCGUGAUUUUACUUUACUCAAAUGAAAACCAAAUCCCAAAGCAUCUUAAGUUACAAAUGACGAGUUUGAUAUUUCAUGCAAUGUUUUUUAAGUAACUAGUAGCAGAGAUUCGUGUUGAGUAUUGAUCUUUUAAAUACCGAGAAAGCCAUAUGUUUAUUAUGAAACGUCUUUGCAUUAAUGAAAUUAUCUAAACGUAGUGUAGCUAUUUUACAGAUCGGC
This 320-nucleotide long non-coding RNA is filed under the name Mytilus galloprovincialis (Mediterranean mussel). Lineage: Eukaryota; Metazoa; Mollusca; Bivalvia; Mytilida; Mytilidae. The record is from RNAcentral.